Molecule: transfer RNA, 72 nt
Filed under: Lysobacterales bacterium
Lineage: Bacteria; Pseudomonadati; Pseudomonadota; Gammaproteobacteria; Lysobacterales
Also listed under: 1 other name
Description: tRNA-Arg
Rfam family: tRNA
About the family: Transfer RNA (tRNA) molecules are approximately 80 nucleotides in length. Their secondary structure includes four short double-helical elements and three loops (D, anti-codon, and T loops). Further hydrogen bonds mediate the characteristic L-shaped molecular structure. tRNAs have two regions of fundamental functional importance: the anti-codon, which is responsible for specific mRNA codon recognition, and the 3' end, to which the tRNAs corresponding amino acid is attached (by aminoacyl-tRNA synthetases). tRNAs cope with the degeneracy of the genetic code in two manners: having more than one tRNA (with a specific anti-codon) for a particular amino acid; and 'wobble' base-pairing, i.e. permitting non-standard base-pairing at the 3rd anti-codon position.
Source: RNAcentral
GCUCUCAUAGUUUAAUGGAUAGAACAUCGGUUUGCGGUACCGACGAUCCAAGUUCGAUUCUUGGUGAGAGCA